GCGAUCGAGAGGAAUGAGCUUUGGAAGAGGCUCAGGAACGUGGAAUUGCUAGUAAUUCGCGGACUCAUUAAGACGCGAUGAAUACGUCCCUGUUCUUUGUACACACCGCCCGUCGUUANCGAAGACGGUGCUCGGCGCGAGCAAGGUGAAAUCACUGAGCGAGCGCAAGGUACCGGAUCAGAUACAAGUCGUAACAAGGUAGCUGUAGGAGAACCUGUAGCUGGAUCAAA
RNAcentral lists this ribosomal RNA (230 nucleotides) under Ichthyosporidium giganteum. RNAcentral's name for it is "partial rRNA". It matches the Rfam family "Microsporidia small subunit ribosomal RNA", at positions 1088 to 1311 of the family's 1311-position model. The record is from RNAcentral. Lineage: Eukaryota; Fungi; Microsporidia; Nosematidae.